UACGAAGGGGGCGAGCGUUGUUCGGAUUUACUGGGCGUAAAGGGCGCGCAGGUGGCUCAUUUUGUCAGGCGUGAAAGCCCCGGGCUUAACCUGGGAACUGCGUUUGAUACGGAUGGGCUAGAGUUCGGGAGAGGAGAGUGGAAUUCCCAGUGUAGAGGUGAAAUUCGUAGAUAUUGGGAAGAACACCGGUGGCGAAGGCGGCUCUCUGGACCGUAACUGACGCUGAGGAGCGAAAGCGUGGGGAGCGAACAGG
RNAcentral lists this ribosomal RNA (253 nucleotides) under uncultured bacterium. RNAcentral describes it as "partial 16S ribosomal RNA". It matches the Rfam family "Bacterial small subunit ribosomal RNA", at positions 524 to 776 of the family's 1533-position model. The record is from RNAcentral.